Molecule: ribosomal RNA, 222 nt
Filed under: Vibrio parahaemolyticus
Lineage: Bacteria; Pseudomonadati; Pseudomonadota; Gammaproteobacteria; Vibrionales; Vibrionaceae
Description: partial 23S ribosomal RNA
Rfam family: Bacterial large subunit ribosomal RNA
Source: RNAcentral
GCGUUAGACGAACGGUCUGGAAAGUCCGACGAUACAGGGUGAUAGUCCCGUAGUUGACGACGUGUGUUCAGUGAAAUCGAGUAGGGCGGGACACGUGAUAUCCUGUCUGAAUAUGGGGGGACCAUCCUCCAAGGCUAAAUACUACUGACUGACCGAUAGUGAACCAGUACCGUGAGGGAAAGGCGAAAAGAACCCCUGUGAGGGGAGUGAAAUAGAACCUGA